Molecule: ribosomal RNA, 492 nt
Filed under: uncultured bacterium
Lineage: Bacteria
Description: partial 16S ribosomal RNA
Rfam family: Bacterial small subunit ribosomal RNA
Source: RNAcentral
AGUGAACGCUGGCGGUAGGCCUAACACAUGCAAGUCGAGCGGCAGCACAGUAAGAGCUUGCCCUUACGGGUGGCGAGUGGCGGACGGGUGAGGAAUACAUCGGAAUCUACUUUUUCGUGGGGGAUAACGUAGGGAAACUUACGCUAAUACCGCAUACGACCUACGGGUGAAAGCAGGGGAUCUUCGGACCUUGCGCGAUUGAAUGAGCCGAUGUCGGAUUAGCUAGUUGGCGGGGUAAAGGCCCACCAAGGCGACGAUCCGUAGCUGGUCUGAGAGGAUGAUCAGCCACACUGGAACUGAGACACGGUCCAGACUCCUACGGGAGGCAGCAGUGGGGAAUAUUGGACAAUGGGCUCAAGCCUGAUCCAGCCAUACCGCGUGGGUGAAGAAGGCCUUCGGGUUGUAAAGCCCUUUUGUUGGGAAAGAAAAGCAGCAGGUUAAUACCCCGCUGUUCUGACGGUACCCAAAGAAUAAGCACCGGCUAACUUCGUG